CUUUAAGUAGUAUAAGAAGAAUACCCCACAUUUUCAAUGUGAAGUUAACAUUUGUUCUUAAAGU
Molecule: transfer RNA, 64 nt
Filed under: Monacha cartusiana
Lineage: Eukaryota; Metazoa; Mollusca; Gastropoda; Stylommatophora; Hygromiidae
Description: tRNA-Glu
Source: RNAcentral